This is a long non-coding RNA of Panicum hallii, 459 nucleotides long. RefSeq lists it as uncharacterized. The transcript is spliced from 2 exons. Lineage: Eukaryota; Viridiplantae; Streptophyta; Magnoliopsida; Poales; Poaceae. The record is from RefSeq and is a predicted model, not a curated record.
AUUCAAGGCUACAAUGUCAUCCUCAGCAAUGUCCUCCCAGCUUCUUGUCCUGCUCUGUAUGGUAUUGGUCUCUCUCGCCAUCAUCUUACAGGGCGCAUGUGCUGCAAGAGAUCUCACCCACACUAUGCGUGCUAGCAAUUACGGUGGCGGCUAUGGUGGGUACCAUGGCGGCAUGUCGGACAGCUAUGGUACUGGUUAUUGAUAAUAUUUUUAUCAUUGUUUCAUUCACAAACGUUCAGUUCUAUUACUCUUUUCAAUUCCUCAUUAUAUUCAUACAAAAGAAGGUGAUGAAGAACCUAAUAGUAUAAGGAUUGGCAUGUUCAACUUUGAACAUUAUUACCGUAACCGAUACUUUGUAACAGAUGUGAUGUUUGGAGAGAAAUCCAUGUGCAUGUUGUAAUAUUGGCAAGCAGGUUUCUACGUGCCUGUAAUUGUUGUAAUAAAGAAUUGCUUUUGGUC